This 497-nucleotide ribosomal RNA is filed under the name uncultured bacterium. RNAcentral's name for it is "partial 16S ribosomal RNA". It matches the Rfam family "Bacterial small subunit ribosomal RNA", at positions 28 to 507 of the family's 1533-position model. The record is from RNAcentral.
GAUGAACGCUGGCGGCGUGCCUAAUACAUGCAAGUCGAGCGGACAGACGCAAAACUUUUUGCUCUGAUGUUAGCGGCGAACGGUUGAGUCACGCGUGGAUACCCUACCUAUCAGACUGAGAUAACUUCUAGAAACCCGAGCUCAUACCGGCUAAUAUAUUUAACCGCAUGGUUCAAAAGUGAAAGACGGCCUUGCUGUCACUUAUAGAUGGAUCCGCGAUGCAUUCGCUAGUUGGUAAGGUACCGGCUUACCAAGGCAACGAUGCAUAACCGACCUGAGAGGGAGAUCGGCUACACGGGAACUGAGAGACGGCCCAGACAACUACGGGAGGCAGCAGUAGGGAAUCUUCCGCAAUGGGCGAAAGGCUGACGGAGCAACGGCGCGUGAGUGAUGAAGGUCUUCGGAUCGUAAAACUUUGCUAUUAGGGAAGAACAAAUGUGUAAGUAACUGGGCAAGUCUGGACGGUACCGAAUGAGAAAGCCACGGCUAACUACGUG